This 509-nucleotide long non-coding RNA is filed under the name Pongo abelii (Sumatran orangutan). RNAcentral's name for it is "lincRNA". The record is from RNAcentral. Lineage: Eukaryota; Metazoa; Chordata; Mammalia; Primates; Hominidae.
GAGGCUGCUGGAACCUGCGGUUGAGUGCGAAACCGGCGCCACCCCCUGCGUCUUGGUCUCGGGCUGGUGGCCAGCGGGGUCUGGGCUGUGGUUUUACCCAGCUCCUUUGCGAAGCUGCUGUCCUUUCCUCAACAUUACCACCCGGCUGGGCAGCCUACCCUCGCAGCAACAGGUGUGCACCUUCCAAGCUUGCAACAGACCACAUUCAGAAGCUUCUUGAUUUCCUGGUGUUCUGGGAAUAUCUGGAUCAGAGGUAACAUGGUUCACUAGGACUCCUCAGCUUCACGCAGUGUCCAUUUCACCUCCCCCGGCCUUCCAAUGUCUCUUCUUCAAGAUUUCUCCAAGCCACUCUCCCCUUCAUCUCCUCCACCCCCAGGCCCCAACUCCUGCCCCUCCCACCCUGGCCCCUGUUCUCCCUGCCCACCCCCUACCCCACUGGAGUGGCCUUUCAUCAAACCUAAACCAAAGAAACCAACAGACCUUGCUGUCACCACUACUCCGGGACCUGG